AUUGAACGCUGGCGGCAUGCCUUACACAUGCAAGUCGAAUGGCAGCACGGGUGCUUGCACCUGGUGGCGAGUGGCGAACGGGUGAGUAAUACAUCGGAACGUACCUUAUCGUGGGGGAUAACGCAGCGAAAGCUGUGCUAAUACCGCAUACGCCCUGAGGGGGAAAGCGGGGGAUCGCAAGACCUCGCGCGAUUAGAGCGGCCGAUGCCUGAUUAGCUUGUUGGUGGGGUAAAAGCCCACCAAGGCGACGAUCAGUAGCUGGUCUGAGAGGACGAUCAGCCACACUGGGACUGAGACACGGCCCAGACUCCUACGGGAGGCAGCAGUGGGGAAUUUUGGACAAUGGGGGCAACCCUGAUCCAGCAAUGCCGCGUGAGUGAAGAAGGCCUUCGGGUUGUAAAGCUCUUUUGUCAGGGAAGAAACGCCGGCUCUAACACAGUCUGGGAAUGACGGUACCUGAAGAAUAAGCACCGGCUAACUACGUGCCAGCCGCCGCCGUAA
Molecule: ribosomal RNA, 501 nt
Filed under: uncultured bacterium
Lineage: Bacteria
Description: partial 16S ribosomal RNA
Rfam family: Bacterial small subunit ribosomal RNA
Source: RNAcentral